This 19893-nucleotide long non-coding RNA is filed under the name Lynx pardinus (Iberian lynx). The stretch from base 7324 to 7408 matches the Rfam family "tRNA". Lineage: Eukaryota; Metazoa; Chordata; Mammalia; Carnivora; Felidae. The record is from RNAcentral.
UGUCUAGAUCUCUUUGAAUCUUGUUCCUGUCAGCUGACCUAUUAGUGCUACCUCCUGACUGUGUGUCAGCCGACCACUUGACAAGCCCGCUCCCCUGGAUUCCAUCUGAGUUGCCACGAGAAAUGCUAAACCGGGCAGAGCACUUGGGUAUCAUGUGCCCAAGGCACAUGGGCCGGCCGCGGCAUCAUGAUUUGGGGAUGGUUAUUCGGUCAGGCACAGAGUCCCUGAGAUGAAACGUUGCUCUUUCUUGCCUCGGUGCCUCCCUGCAGCUCGUGCAUACUCUGUCCCUGUCCCGAUUUACCAGUCCACACAGCAGAGCUGACGAGAAAGUGAGGUUAAUCUGGGUGAUUUUUUUUUUCUUGGCGAGCAGCACAGGAAGCGGCCCAGAAGCUGCAGGGGGAUGUGGUUCCUCGGGACAAGAGGCCCCUGUGUCACACCAGACUAAUGAUUCACUCAGUGACAGUCACACAGUCCCCUGUCUUUGCCUGACACCCGUCUGUCACUUGUCACUUCUUAUCUAAUCCUCCACCUCCCUCCAGGUCCUCUCUCCGGCUUCACCUGCAUCAGGAUGAAGGCGGGCUGGUGCGAGUUGAGGGAUUUGCUCCAGCCGGACAAUGAGAAGGAGAGUUCAUAACUCUUUUGAGGGAGAGCCGAGGCGGCCUUCCUGGGUAGCCCAGAGCAUCCCCUUCAAAAGAUGGAGCUCUUCUGAGCUCUUCACUUCCCCUUUAGAGCUUCCCCCCUUUCCCGGACGACUUCCACCUUCACUCGAAGCAGAAGUCUUCCAUAGAGCAGACACAGCCUCCCCUCUGCAGUAUCCCGGGGGGCCCAGUGAGGCCUGGCCCCAGUACCGCAGAGCUUAGCGCCCCUCCUGCCAUCCGGAAGUUUCUUCCGGGAAGCAGGCAGCCUCCUUCUGUCUCCCAGUCCGUGGGUUCCUUCAGAACCUACUGGUGCCUGGUGCUUCGGAUGGGACCGACCCACCUAAGCCCCAGAGAAGAGCUUGGGUGGGGCAGGGGCUUCUGGGUUCUUCUUUCUGUGGGACCUUGGCUUUUAUUUCUGCUUUCUCACUUUUAUGCUAAUUGCCUCAUUCUUCUCUCCCCUUCCUCUUUCUCUCUUCCUGCUCCCGCUACCCCUCCUGCCAACCCUCAGGGUCUUCGUUAAGGACUGGCUCUGCCCAGAGCUCUGCGUGCACGUUGAAGUCGUCCCUCUCCAUCCUCACACUUUUCUCGAGGUGACAUAAUUCCUGCCACUUUCGUCAUUGCCUACGUCUGGCAGAACAGCUGGAGCAGGGCUAAGUGGUAGGUGGGGACAUUCUGUUCGCAUGAGUGAUUUUGUUUUUAAGCCGUACACCCUACCCAAGAGUGUGCAUGUACAAUAAAACAUACCAGAUAAAUUACCGCAUCUGAAGCAUGUUAACAGGCAUGAAGAACACAGGUAUGGAGCAAAGCACCGUCCAGUGCAUUAAUUACACUGUCAAUUUCUUCUAUGGACUGAACUGUGUCUCCCCGAAUUCAUGUGAUGAAGCUCAGUUUCCCAGUGUGAUGGUAUGUGGGGGUGGGGCCCCUGGGAGAUAAUUAGGUUUAGGUAAGGUCUUGAGGCUGAGGCCCUCAUGAAGGGAUUAGUGCCCUUAUUAGAGAUACCAGAGAGACUCUUCUUCUGUGUGUGUGUGUUUCUCUCUCUCUCUUUUCUCUCUCUCUGUCACAUGAGGACAUAGAGAGAAGUUGGCAGUCUACAAGCUGGGAAGCGGGUGCUUGCCAGUUGGCUGGCAUCUUGAUCUGGGACUUUUCGUCUCCAGGACCGUGAGAAACUAAAGUUCCGUUGUGUAAGCCACCCAGUCUAUGGCAUUUUGUUACGGCAGCUCGAGCUGACUAAAACAAAUUCCCAAGCUAAGUAUUUGCUAUCUACCAUAACAUUUGUUUUCCAGAUGUGCCAUUUGCACUCAAAUCUGCAUGCAAAUUGAAUUAGCUAAUUAAUACAGGUAUAUACUACCUCAGGAUAGGAGUCUCUAGUGACUCCCUUCCCCAUUAAUCCCCGUAUAUUUAUAUAUCUUCACUUGGAACUCCUGGAUUAAACUCAGUUAAGCUUAAACUCCCUUGUCUCUUCAUUUAACUGUAAAGCACUCAGACAAUUUUGUCCGAAUGUUCCUCUGUCCACAUUUGCCUUGAUAUCCUCUUUACUGAAACAUCAUACUUAUCCUUCCCAAAAUUAGGCUCAUGGGCGGGGGACCCAAACAAUGAUCCCAUUUUGUAGCAAAGCCCAUGCUUGGACCUCAUGUCUAUACCCUGUUCUUUCCACGAUCAUGUUAAGAAUUUAGAAGGCGAAAUGCAGGUAUCUGGUUUCCUUUUCCGGAGCAGAGACGAUUAAAAUGUCCAGCCUGUCGAUGAUGCCCAACACUUAUGAGUUCUGUCUCCUUUACGCGCCUAUCUCAUUUAGCCCUCACAACAGACUCUGUGGAGUAGUGAGGAUCCCCUCCCCGGAGGGACGAGGGCAGUGAGACAAAGAAAGAUUAACUGGCAAAGAUGACAGCCAGCGAAGGAUGUCAGGGUUUCCCCGCAGGCAGUCUGAAUCCAGAGGUUACCUUCCUGACUACUAAGAAACCAGAUGUAUUCGUUGGGCGUCCCACCAAAAAGGAGCAAGGGGUCAAAGUGGAGAGCCCUAAGAGGGAGUAUUUGGCAGCCUCAAUUUUAUCUUGCUGCGGCUUUCUUCUCACGGGGGCUCACGUGUUGGCUCUUUCUUUUGUGCGAAAGGAUUACUAAAUAUCAUAGUUGCCAUUUAGCUUUCUGUUGCCAGGUUGGGACGGCUCCUGGUUUACUGCUUCUGAGCGACCCAAACUGAAUACUACCCUGGAUACCUUCCCUCGAAGAAGAAAAGUUUUGAGCAAGGAAUUUGGACUGGAAACUUAGACUUUACAAUUUAGUACGUGUGUGUUCGGACCUGACAUUAGGUCCUAUUACUGAUCGGGUUUUUUCGCACAGCAUCCCGAUUUGUCAGUUCUGGGACUAGGAGGUGUUUGGCCCACGUGUAGGAGUAAAGGCCAUCCUGACAUCAGCACCAUUUUAUUGGGGGGGGGGAGGGUCAUAUCUUGGGUAUUGAGAACAGAAGAUCCUCAAACAAUUCUUAGCCGCCAGCAGGGUGGUACCAAUAGCUGCCGUGAGAUUAUUAAACAGUACGAAGAUUUCCUACAGACAGACUCAAGAACUGGUAGCAUUUGCCUUCAGUCGUGGGAGACCAUAACAAAAACACGCUCUCAUGUGUUUAUUUUGGCAGCAUCCUGUGGUAGCACAGAGUAGCCAUGCAAUCAACACGCAUGGGAUUAAAUGCACAUCUGUGGGAACCAGGGCAAAGAGUGCCAAGGGGUCCCCUGUCCCCUGUCUAAAUUUAGUCUCCCCUUUUUAGAGCAAACCGGAUCCUAACAUGUGACAAAGCAAACAUCUGGCAUUAGUUUUUCUGUCCCAGUGGUGCUCCUGUUCUACCUUGUGUGUGCAGCUCUUUGCUCAGAAUGAGAUGGUGGCAUCUUUAUAAGUAGAGGAAGCACAGUGUGAUAGAAAGGGUGUUGCUUUUGGAGUUCAUGCAUCUGGGCUCAAGGGCCAGCUCUUUUUGAUACUUAAAGCAUGAUACUUAACUGCUUUCUCCUGGUUUAUGGUUAGAUCUCAGCUUCACAAGUUUGUUGUAAAGCUCUGCUGCUCCUAACCCAUGAUGACGGCUCAACAUAGUGAACAUCAGCUCCCUUCUCCUUCCCUCCUAGAGGGAAUGGAUGAUAUCACUUAUUUCUGCAUUCCUAACUCCCAGCAUAUGUCUUGGCACACACGGAAUAUCUGGAAAUGUUUGUGGAACAAAUAAAAUCUUAUUUCCCAGUGUAUUAAAAUCCCUCCCUCUGUGUUGGUCAUCUAGUUGGUUCUCAAACACUUAAAAAAAUUUUUUUGUGGGGCGCCUGGGUGGCUCAGUCAGUUAAGCUUCUGACUCUGGCCCAGGUCAUGAUCUCGUGGUUCAUGAGUUCGAGCCCUGUGUUGGGCUCUGUGCUGACAGCUCGGAGCCUGGAGCCUGCUUCAGAUUCUAUGUCUCAUUCUCUCUCUGCCCUCCCUGCCCCACCCCCCCCCCCCCCCCCAGCCAACUUGUGCUGUCUCUCUCUGUCUCUCGAAAAUGAAUAAAGGUUAAAAAAAAAUUUAACUUAGGUGCAAGUUAUUUACAUACAAUUAUUUCAGUUGUAUACUACUAUAUUUAUAUAUUUAUUAAGUUAUAUAUUAGAUUAUUUACAUAAAUUGCUAGAUCUUAAGAAAGCUUAGUAAAUUUUUACGUAGGUAUACAUACACCCAUGAAACCAUCACCUAGAUAAAGAUAAAAAACAUUUCAGUUGCCCCAGAAGGUUCUUCCUGCUACUUCCCAGUCAAUACUCCCCCUGCCAGAGGAAAUGAUUGUGGUGACUUCUGUCCUCAUAGAUUCGUUUUGCCGGUUCUUGGAUUUCAAAUAAGUGGAUCUUAUAGUGCAUACCCUUUUGUGCCUGGCUUAUUUCACCCAAAAAAUGCUGUGAUAUUCAUCCAUGCCGUCACGUAUGCAGCAGUUUGUUCAUUUUUAUUAUGUGUAGUAUUCCACAAUAUAUAUAAACUAUGCGUCCGUUCACCUACUGAUGGACAGUGGGGUUGUUCCUAGUUUUUAGCAAUGAUGGAUAAAGCUGUAUUUUCGUUUAUGUCUUUUGGUGGAUAGAGCUAUUCCUUUCUCUCGGGUAAACGCAAGGAGUGGAGUUGCUUAUCAAAAACUACCAAACUAUUUUACAAAAUAAUUGAACACACUUACACUGCCACCAGCACCGUAUUAAGUUCUGGUAACUUUAAAUUCUUACCUGCGUUUGAUAUUUGGUAUUGUCUUUAACAUUUUAAUCAUCCAGGUUUCUCAUGGUUGUUUUAAUUUGUAGAUUUCUGAUGAGUGAUGAUGUUGAGCAUCUUUUCAGGUGCUGUGGCCACGGGGCUGCACUAUUCAGAUCUCACUUCAAGGGAACCUUCUGCAGGGAACAUAGCUGACUGACAGCUUCCAGCAGCUAGAUCAUCAUAUCUGUCACGAUGCUCGCACUGAGGCCACAUUUUCCCAGGAAAUUUGCUGCUUCCAGUCAAAGACUAAGCAGGGCAGAGAUACUAGACUUAGACCAUUUCUGCCCAGUGGAGCCCUUCUCCAAUAGCCAAUCUUUGUUUAAGAGACUCCCAUCAGCUUGGCCCAGAUUACCUCAAAACUGCAGUGUCUAAAGUUCUUCCUAAAUCAUCCGCCUUCCUUCCCUGAUCCUUUUAUAGAUGUCAAACCUGCACCACAGUCCAGGGCUCUCCCCACUUUCUCCUGCCCCACCCCCCUUUUCCUUCAUAGGCAUUUCCCUCAGUAGACCCCUUGCAUGUCUAAUCCCAUCUUGGCAUAUGCUUCAUGAAGCCUGAACUGACCUACUUGAUUAUUGACUGUUGAUAAUUCUCUUUUGUAAAACCCCUGUACAAGUCUUUUGUCUAUUUUUAAGAUGAGCUUCAUGCUCCUCCUUUUUUAAAAAAAUUUAUUUAUAGGAGCGCCUGGGUGGCUCAGUCGGUUAAGCAUCUGACUUCGGCUCAGGUCAUUAUCUUGUGGCUUGUGGGUUGGAGCCUUGCGUCAGGCUCUGUGCUGACAGCUCAGAGCCUGGAGCCUGCUUCGGAUUCUGUGUCUCCCUCUCUCUCUGCACCUCUCUGCUAAUGUUCUGUCUCUCUGUCUCUCUCUCAAAAAUAAACAUUUAAACAUUUUUUAAAAAUUUAUUUAUAGGAGUUCUGUAUAUAUUCUGGAUAUAAAUUCUUUGUUAGAUAUGAUUUGUGAAUAUUUUCCCUCCAUCCAUGGCUUGUGUAUAAUCACUUUAUUAAUGAUAUCUUUGAUAAAUAGUUUAUUUUAGUGGUGCCCAGUUUAUUUUUUUCCUUUGUAGUAUAAAAUGUGAGGUAGGUAUCAAGGUUCUUUUUUUUUUUUUUUCAUAUGAAUAUCCAAUGGUGUCAGCAACUAGAAGAAACAUGAUUUCCCCACUGCAGUAGCACCUAUAAUGGAAAUUAGGUAAAUCUACAUAUGUAUGUAUAUUUCUGGACUCUAUUCUGUUCCAUUGAUUUCCUUGUUUAUACUUGCACCUAUAAUACACAGUUUUUAAAUAUAUAUACCAUCACACUUUAUUUUUAAAGUAAUCUCCAUGCCCAACAUGGGGCUCAAACUCCUGGCCUUGAGAUCAAGAGUCACAUGCUCCAUGGACUGAGCCAGCCAGAUGCUCCUACAACAUACUGUUGUAAUUAUUAUAGUUUUAUAGAAUGUCCUGGAACUUGAGCUCAUAAUUCCUCCAACUUUUUCUUCUUAAAUAUUGUCUAGAUUAUUUAUAUUUUCAUUUAUUAGAAUGAGCCCAUCGAUUUCUAAAAUUGCCUGGGAUUGGGAUUAGGAUUCCAUUAAACCAGGGUUUCUUAUCCUCAAUGCUAUUGAAAUUUUGGGCUUUGCUGUGGGGAAAGGAGUCUGUCCUGUGCAUUGCAGGAGAUUUAGCAGCAACCCUGGUCUCUGCCCACUAAGUGCCGGUAGUAACCCCUCCCCCCACCCCAGGUGGUGCCACACAGGUCAAGGGGCGCCUGGGUGGCUCAGUCGGUUAAGCAUCUGACUUAGGCUGAGACCAUGAUCUCAUGGUUUGUGAGUUGGAGCUCCACGUUGGGCUCUGUGCUGAUAGCUCUGAGCCUGGAACUGCUUCACAUUCUAGGUCUCUUGCUCUCUCUGCCUGCCCCCCACCCCUGCUCACGCACUGCCUCUCUCUGUCUCUCUCAAAAGUAAAUAACGUUAAAAAAAAUUAUUUAAAAAAAUGUGUCUGUAAAUUGCCAAAUGUCCUUUGGCAAGCACAACUGCCCUGCCCUCUCUCCCCGAUUGAUAACCACUGCAUCAAAUCUAUGGAGCAAUCUGGAGAAAAUUGGCAUCUUAACAGUAUUGGGACUCUCCAUCCACAAAAAUGGAUUAUCUCUCCAUUUAAAACUGAAGCACACACUUUCAACACCCUGUACCAUUGUGACCUUAAAGGCAUAACGAAUUCAGGUUUUCAUUUACUGGUUAUUUAUGACAUAUGAACUUAUACCUCCUCGCCAAAACCAUCUCAGCAAAUGGUUUAAUGUGAUAAUUAUUCUUCUAGUCAAAAUAUCUCUAUUGGAAGUCAGAGCUGAUCCAAAAGGAGCCUUGGAUUUAAAUAUGACAUAGUAGAAACUCUAAAUGUCUAACAAGUAAAUUAAACAAAAAAGCAAGCAUCAAAAAGAUAAGGUAAGGGUGUAGGUUCAAGCCCCACAUUGGUUGUACAGAUUACUUAAAAAUAAAGUCUUUAGGGGUGCCUGGGUGGCUCAGUCGGUUAAGCGUCAGACUUCAGCUCAGGUCAUGAUCUCACAGUUUGUGGGUUCGAGCCCCACAUCAGGCUCUGUGCUGACAGCUAGAGCCUGGAGCCUGCUUUGGGUUCUGUGUCCUCCUCUGUCUCUCUGCCCCUCCCCCACGAUGCUUGCUCUCUCUCUCUCUCUCUCUCUCUCUGUCUAAAAUAAACAUACAUACAUACAUACAUACAUACAUAAAAUCUUUAAAAACACAAAAGAUAAGGUAAAUGGAAAGCCAAUUAAGUGAAAAGAUACUACUCUGUCAUCUCUACACUUAUCAAUAGAAAAUUAAUAUUUAUUAACCAGAAGAAGAAUCUCAUAACAUGUCAUUGUCUUUAACAAAUAUACAUUAGCUACCUCUUUGAGCUUGCUGUAAGACUUGAAACUUUCUGACAGUUUGGUUCAGUCCGCAAACCUCAUAAAGUUGUUUUUAUCCCUGUUACACAAAUUAGAGGACAGUGGAGGUGGUGUCCUGAGGCUAGCAGUCUCAUUUUGUCCUGGUACUGCCCCAGUCCUCACCCAACUCCUACCCAUCAUCUAUGCUGCUCCUUUUUCAAUUCUCCUGAAGGGAGCUGCCCCUUCCCUGCUAAAUAACAUUCAAUGGCUCACCACUGUCCACCAAAUAAAGGCCAAGUUCUUGUGCACGUUCAAGAUCUUGUUUCCUAUACAUCUCAAUAGACUAUAAAGAACAAAAACAGCCUAUUCAUGCCUUUGUCACCUCCUUGUCGUCUCACCCCACACAGAGUAGGAAUACCUCCAGAGUGAUGCAUUUUCCAUCUCCAGUAGGAGUAUGGCAGAGGAUUCGAACUUCACAACUGUUUGGACUGGACACUGAUCCAGAGGGCUUAGGAUUAUUCUUCAGUUAAUCAGGUAUAUUACAGAUACAGAUACAACAGGUCAAAUAAAAUUUCCCAGGAGCACAGGGCAUGGCGGAGACAGAACACUAGCCACUAAAAUAGAGCAGGGUUGGAAAACUUUUCUUGUAAAGCGUCAGAUAGUAAACAUUCUAGGCGUUGCGGGUCAUAUAGCCCCCCUGGCAGUGACUCACCACUGCCGUUUUAUUGUGACAGCGGCCGGAGGUAAUAUCUAGGCAAACGGGAGUGGCUGUAUUCGCACAAAUCGUAUUUUAAAAAACAGGUGGUGGGCAGCAUUCGGCCUGUGGGCCAUAGGUGGCCAACUCCUGAGACAGAGGGUUGUUCUGUUACCAAAGAGGGUUUGAAACACAAGAUGCUGACGGGAAAGCCAGGUGCUGACAUAGAACGGAAAAGUUGAAAUCAAUGAACAAAAGUACAAUUCUGUACUAAGUUUUAGACAGGAAAAUGGAACAAGUACCUAACUGGAAAAAGAAGAGGUUUCAUGUAAAAUGUCUCCUGAGUUAGGUGAAAAAUUUUAUUCAGUUCAAGAAAAGAGAAAAGAUGACUUUGGGGCUUGGUUGCCUGAAAAUUCCCCAUGGGCCAAAUGGAGCCGUGUGGCUUCUCUGAACAUCUAACGUGCUGUAUGAAAGCAGAGCAUCCAGAAGAUGCAGGGUGACGACCCCAGGGGAUGGGGCACCAUGUUGGUCGGGUCACCACUAGAUCCCUCACCCCCAUCUCUGCCAGACACUAGGAGGUGCUCACUGGGAAAUAAUCGUUCCCGUGCUCUGCGCUGGGUGGUGCGGUUGGACAUUUGAGUGUCUGCUCUGUGCAAUGUCUGAGCCGGAUUCAAGCGUGAAAAAGUGCUGUUUGAGCUCCGAGCUUCUGAAAGGCGGGGCCCAGCUGAGGACAGAGGAAGAGAGACAAGGGGAAAGAGUAGCCCAGGCAGGGGACAGUACUAGAGUCUGCUGGGAUUAUCUGACGGGGCUCAAUUCUGUUCUUUCUCUUCAAAAUACCAGUUAGAAUCCAGGUUUCUGCCGGGGGCGGGGGGUGGGCAGGGGGCAUCAUACUUUCUAAGGAGUCAUAACUUUAGCUUUGUUUUCUGAAAAAUAUGCCACCCUACCUGAGAGACAAGAGACAAAUGUGUUGACACAUUUAAGGAAACACUUGUAGUAUUUCAAAUGAGCCGAUAAAGGGAGAGAAACGUAAGGAACCCAUAGGCUACAGUGGGAGUUCUCAGAGCCCCGGUAAUCCCCUGGCAAGGGAACUAAUUAUGUUUGCAGAAGACGUGUGUGCUUGAUAAAAUAAUUAAAAAUAAAUUGCUCUCCUUGGACAUGCAAAUCGCCAAGUGUUAAAGCAACCCCAUUGGUCACAUAGAUAAUAAAUAGAUGCGUUUUCUCUAGUCUGUUAGGUGGCACUGAUUGAUUUCCAGUUCUGGCUACGAUAGGGCCUGAGCAGCUUUUGAAACAAAGAUGAGGAGACCUCAGACCCAGUGGGAACAGUUGUCAUAUCCUGGGGGCCAGUUGUUAAAAGCUGUAAGCCAUGACACUCCCCAACCCCAGCCCUCCUGACCUUUCCUGGCUGAGAACUGGGGACUCUGAGGAACCAGACUUGACCCAGUGAUCCCCCUGGGCUCCCAGCCCCUGCUGGAGAAAGAGGGGACAGGGGCCCUGUUACUCCUCCUCCCCCAAAGAACUACCACGACACUCUGUGCUACUACCCAGUGCUGUCAGGUCAAAGAAAAUAAGGCAUUGGCUAAAAGCCAGGACCCAGAUGGAUCUUUUGGUGUGGGGAGGAAGGGGAGAUAUGAGGCCUUGGGGUUGACUGUCGUUAAAAAAAAAAAAAAAAAAAGUUUUUCCUAAUGACCUAAUAGUCUUAUAGAGCAAAGAAGAAAAGGAGAUGAGAGGUGAGGUGAGGAGAAAGAAAGAAAGAAAGAAAGAAGAAAGAAAGAAAGAAAGAAAGGCAGAAAGAAAGAAAGAAAACAGAGAAAGCGAGGAAGGGAAGGAGGGAGGAAGAAAGAGGAAGCAGAAACUCAGACUACAAAAUGCUUUAUAAUUUCUUCAAAGAACCCAUCAAUAUUAAUUAGGUACCGUCUAUGCAGAGAUUGUCCUUGAGUAGCAUUUAUAGAUGGGAUGGGGGCAAGACAGGAUUUCUGCAUUGAAGGAAGUCACAUCCACAUUGGGAAGUAGAUCUGAUGUGAAUGAAGGGCAUAUUCCCAAUUCCUUUUUGCCUUGCUGACAUCAGGCCCCUUCCCACACCUCUUAUUUGGGGGCAAGAGAUUACCUAGAGCCAGUGUGACUGGACCACUCGGAAUGCUUUCCUGGGAAUCAGUGACAUAAGGGAGGAGAAAGCAGAGGGCAGCCUCACCCUGGGCUUCGCCAUAGGAUCGCAACUAAUACCCAAGAGGCUGUGUGAGGGAGGUUCUCUCCUUACAGAAGGGGACCCUGAACCUCUGUGAGGUGCGGCAAAUGAAACACAGGGUAAAUUAUCUAGUUCCUGGGAGAAGGCAAGGGGUAGAUGACUUAACACACAAAGAAACCACAUACACAUUCCCUCUGAUUCCUAGGUAACUUGCCCAAGGCCACACACACCAAGAAGGACACAAUCAGGAUUCAUUCACAACAAUGCUCAGUCCAAUUCCAGAGCCCACACUUUCCAUAGGGCUGCAGACAGCUCUCGGGAUUCAAUGGUCUUCCUCUUCCCUCCAGGUGGUUACCCAGUCUCCAGCCCGUUUCAAAUCCACCCAGAGAGUCUUUUCUUUCAGUGCGUUUAGCUUCAGUGCCGACAACCUCCUGGCUUUGUGGUACAAGCAGACGAGGGAAAUGAGCAGAAGGAUAAACAGAAUGCAGGGGCAGGUGAAUAGGAAAUAGAGUAAAGGUGUUGAUGAGCAGAUCCUGGAGGGAAAUGUGGGCUCUGCAAUGAAAAGAACAAUAAAGAAGAUAAUUAGUCUCCAGCUUACCUGCACUAAUCAAUGAUAAACACUUGGGGGAUUUAUUGUUACAGGGAAAUAUAUGUAAAAAUAGUGGGGCCAAGUAGCGGUGGGCCCUUUAAAUCGUAUGUGGGCAGAGGAGUCCAGAAUAGGGCUCUUCCAGCCUAGCUGCCCUCACCCAGCAUGUCCCAACCACUGGGUGGGGGGUUCCAAUGACCUACUUAAAACCAACAGCCGCGAAGAAAAAUAAAACAAAAAAAGAAAACCUCUCCUUUAAUCUUCUAUCCUCAGAAAAGAUAUCUAUAAUUCAACCCUCGUUCUCAGCUCUGUUGCUGGUCCUGAAUUUUUAACUGAGUUAUUCCCACUGCUGCUGCUUAAGUGUGCGUACUCAUAUGGACACGCACGCGGCACACACACAUGCACGUGUGCACACUCACACAGUGCGCUGUUUUUACACAACUACAGUGAGAAGCUUGGUCCGGACUCUCCUGUUGGGAUCCCCCCACCCAGGCACCCUCCGUUUGGCUCCCCUCCUGUGUUGCCCUUACUCUUGCCCCCAUCACGCACGCUCUCUGCACUCUCUGCAUCCUAAUCCUCUGGGUCCUCCUGACCCAGCUCAGACAACACUUCCUCUCCUGGGUCCUCUACCUGCCUCAGGCACAGUCCUUUCCAAUGCUCCUCUCACAUACCCCCUGGUGUAGACCACUUUUGUUCCUCCUUAUCCAUCUCCUUCAUUCCACCACAGUUGAGUACGACUGGUAGCGACUGAUAGCGUCAUUGGUUUCUGUGUCCCCUGCUAUGCCCGGCACUUGCCUGACAACGUUGGCUGAUCUGAAUCGAACCGGACUGACUGCAACCACCUGGGCAAAGGCUACUAUAUAAAGGCAAACUAAAGCACACGAUCUUCCAGCAACUGCAGUCCGUGGCGGGGGCAGGAGGGGGGCACUGUCAGCGCACAGACACGCCAGGCAUGCACAAGCAGUCCCAAAGUGGCUCCUGGCCACACGGCCAGAGAGGCAAGGGGACAGGGCUGCAAACACCACAGGUUCCAGGAAGCAGUGCCUAACAGCCUCCAUGCACAAAGGCACAUGCUUAGAGAGACACCAACCACUAAAUGUAGUCUUCUGACGACAUUUGUUUAUGACAGGAUAUUUGAACUUGGGGCUUUUUGGAAAACUCUGAUGCUAAUAGUAGCUGUGCUUUUAUUGGAAAAUUGUAAUGACAUAAGCAAGUUCUUCUUCAGAGGUUAAGUUAUAGGAUUCACGGGAUUAUAGACUCUUAGAGAUGUAAACAGCUUUGGAGGUCAUUUCCACCAACCUCUACCGCAAGAAUUCCAUUUUUGGCAUUGUUGAUGCAUUUGCACCUUGAAGAACGUCUCUUUGUUGGAAGUCAAGAAAGAGCCUCAAACAUUUGUCCGGCUCCUGCCUUGUGAACUCCUGAAGGACAGGGCCCAUGUCUUACGCGUCUUUUUAUCUUGUACAGCACUUUGUCCAUAGGUCAUCAAUGGAAACCGAUGGAUGAAUCAAUUGCGUGAGUGCAUUGCACACACAGGAACCCAGGGGUGGCUGUCGUCCUGUUACACAGAGUAAAGACCAUCACUGAACAGGAAGCUAGCUCUGAACAGGACUUGACGAGCUGAAGGAGUUUGCAGCUGGAUUUUCUCUGGUCUCAUGUAUAUUCUUCGCCCUCAAGUUGGUUUUGGUUUUUGAAAGGGUGGGCAAUGAUAAAGCUAGACUUUUAAUUCAUUAUCACCCUCUCUCUCUCUAUCCUACCUGACCCCUCUCUCCAAGGCCCUGCUUGACUACAAUAAAUCUCCCCAGGUCUUAUCUUAAUAUAUCUGAAGGCAUGUGGGUAGGAAGGAGGUAGAAAUGGCAGUGCUGAAAGAGACCGGAGCUGUAGAAAACAGCGGAGAAGAGCACUGGCCUUGACACUUCACGCUACUCGUACGCACAGUAGCGACUGAGUACCUCUUCCAUCUCGAAGGAAGCCGGGUUCACAUUCUGGCUCUUCCACAUACUGUUAUUGACGUUGGACCAGUUACUUGCCCUCAAUAACGCUUAGUUUCCUCAUCGAUCAAAUGGGGAUAAUAAUUUCUAGAGUCGUGAUAAGAUAAUGAAGUAUUUAACAGAGCGCUCAGCACAUCUGUUGAGUCAGCAAGGAAUAACUAUCAGUACACUGGUAGGAAAGUCACAGGCAAUGCUCUCCCAAGAGACCGGGUAGAAAACGGGGCUUGACCAGCUGGUUCCCCACACAGGCACCACAAGCUUGGCCACGUUCUUCCGCAGGCCCAGUCUCUCCCUCAAGUCUCUGGUCCCUCCGUCUCCAUGGCUGGGUGACGUUCCACUGAGAGUCAAAUGAUUACAUAGGAGACUCUGACUUCCCUUCCCUAUCAUGGGAGGCAGAGAAUUGGGAAGUGAGAGUCCACCUCUGUGUCACCGUUGCUAGGACGGUGGUGCGAUACUGAAGAGAUUUGCACCAGCACGCAGAAGGUGAGAAGAAAUCCGGUACUUGGCUUUUUUUCUUUUUCCCCUGAGACUCUAACCUUCAGUGUGAAGGGACUGCCAGAGGGCUUGGGUAUCUUAAUGGGGAGGAGACUGCUCUGUGUGGAGCAAUCUGCCAUCAAAGGAUAGCACAGGCGCUCGUCACAGUGCCGAGUUGGCCAACAGCUAGCAACUGUCAGCUCCAGUGCUUCUAAAUUACCUCUCCUGGGAGGGCAGGGUUUGCUCUAGAUCCCACAAUCACCAGUCCCCACCAUCUGCCUCUCACCCAUAUCUGGAUUAGAAUUAGCGACAUCCCAAACCAUUAAGGUUUGGCAUUUUGAAUCAAUCCGAGUAAGUGCCCGAUGCUCGAAGUACAAGGUCUGCAAGACAGAGCCAAAAGUGUAAUGAGAACACUUCAUCACGAGGCUUGGUUGAUAACUUGCUCCCACCCACAGCCAAAUACACCACGAGGAGCAUUCCUUUUCCAUAUUACCUCAGAAGUACUGACUUCAGCAGAGGACAGAUACCGGAGAGCGAGGGGGCUACCAAUUCUGCCCCCACCCCAACCCAAAUUCAGCAAUGGACCAUGCCAAGUGUGGCCACGGGAGAGAGUUGGCUCCCGCCAAGAAAUGAAAGUAGGGUUAGGGAACCCAAUACAAGCGCAUCCCAGAAUGAAUGGUGCCUGACAGUAUCCUGUUUCAUCCCAACUGAAGACUCGCUUGCUCAUUCUUUCAUGAAGCAUUUAUUGAGUACUACGUGCCAGACUUUGUGGGAGGCACCGGGGUAGCAUAGAAAAAUGUUAUGUUCUCUCCAGAAACUUCAGUGUGGUAGGGGCACAUAUCUCCUUUGAAGGGUCACUUUCUAAGUAUAUCCUUACCCACCUAGAAGCUGGGGAAGAGUAACAAAUACAUAUGAUGACAAGUAAUCCAGUCCCCAGAAAGCCUUAUAAUCUUGCCUAUUAAUUAAUUACAGAGAAUUCUCUAGAAUAAGACAUUUAUGUCUGGGGUCUGAGGGUGAGGUAGGAAGACUAAGGUAUCUCUAGCCCCUGCCUUGGCUUAGUCAUAGGUAAGGAAGUCAGAUGGAGAAGCAAAUGCCAGGUCCAUUCCAUUCCCCCAGGGAGAUGCGUCUUAACUUUUCUGUCUCCACUUGAGCCACAGCACUCCACAGACUUAUUAGGUAGUCCUAAACUAACCCACCCUGAAAUUGCCACAGGGAGGUGGCAGAAAACCAUCUGAGAAGUGGAGAGUUGAUAGCAUGUUAGUCCCUGAGAAGGUAGCAGAUAAGUUGGGAGGUGAAGGAUUAGUAGGUGUUGACCAAAGGUGGCAUGGAGGGGCACUGCAGUCAGCAGGUGGUAUAGCUUCAUCAUCUUCCUCUCUGCGGCCUCUUUCCCCUCUAGAAUUUUUUAAAGUGCUCAAGUCCCUACCAGCUCCAAACCAAAACAGAACAAAGUAAAACUUCACUGACACCUCUUGCCACUUAUCUUCUCUCUUACCUUUACAUCAAAGCUCUUGAAAGUGUAAUCUAUAUUUGAUGUGUCCACUCUUUCACUGUGGUCUGCCUUUUCUCAUUACUUCUCUGCAAUUGCCCUGCAGUGUGAAAUCCCAUGGACACUUGCCCGUUCUUAUCUUAAUUGACCUCUUUACAAUAGUUGAGUUUGUUGGCUUUCCCUUCCCUUUUGCUGUGCUCUCUGCUUUUGGUUUCUAGGAUACCACCAAACCCUGGUUCUCCUCCUACCUCUUGGCUACUCCUUUCGUUCCCCUUCAGUCUCCUCUUCUGUACUUCCCUGAUCAAUAGUAUCUCAGGGAUGCGUCGUUGGACACCAUUAUUGGCUAUGAGUUGAUGCCUACUAAUCUACAGCUCUGGCAAAGAUCUCUCUUGGAAAUCCCCAUGUCUAUUGGGUAGAACUCUCUGGAUAACUCACACAUACUCCACACAUCAAUUCCAGCUCAACUUAUUCAAAAUUGAACUAAUUUCUCCAUCAGACCUUAUAUUACCUCAUUUAGUGAAUGUCCCCACUAACCACCCAUGCUAGAAACUUCUUAUUCAUCCUUGAUUCUCCCCUUCUGCCCAUUCACCCUCCACAUGCACCUAAUCAGUCUCUAAAUCCUGAAGAUGAUGCUGCCUAACACUGACUGCCUGCUUUUCUCUCAUCCCUCAUUAAAGCACUGCCUUAAUUUGGACCUUCAUCUUGUCUCACCUGGGUUCCUACUAUCAAUUUCAAAUAGUGCUCUCUGCUCUGUGUCUGCCUCCCUUCCCACUCAUCUUUAACAGGGCUCCCAGUGGGAGCUUCCUAAAAUGCAAAUCUCAUGAUGUCACUCCCCUGGUUGAACUUCGCUGACACUCCAUAAGGUUCAUGACUCAGUUCACCUUCCUUAGCUACAUACGUGGGAUGAGUUUGAGAUCCAUACCCUCCCAUCUCACUAGCUGCCUCUCUUACCCUUGCGCCACAGUUUAUUUUUUAAUAAUUUUUUAAUGUUUAUUUAUUUUUGAGAGAGAGAUGAGUGGAGAGAGAGUGUGUCAGAGCAUGAGUUGGGGAGGGGCAGAGAGAGAAGGAGACACAGCAUCUGAAACAGGCUCCAGGCUCUGAGCUGUCAGCAUAGAGCCUGAUGCAAGGCUCGAGCCCACGAACCAGGAGAUCACGACCUGAACCAAAGUCGGACACUUAAACUAACUGAGCCGCUCAGGUGCCCCUGCCCUUGCACCACAGUUUUUAUGAUCAUCUUGCCUAGCCUUUCCUUUCCCUAAAAUAUGUCCUCUUCCUUUUCAUAGGCCCCAUACUCUGGGGAGUUUCCCAGCUCUCCUCCCCACCCAGCCCUUCACCCCAGCCCUGCCUCUGCUCCUUGUGCAGCACCCUAAAACUAUUUCUUUGAUGACACCUACCACUUUGGACUUUACUUCCCCAACAGAAUCUGAGCUCUUUGGGGGAUGCCUGGGUGGCUCAGUUGGUUAAGCAUCCGACUCCUGGUUUCAGCUCAGGUCAUGAUCUCACGGUUCGGGAGUUUGAGCCCCACAUCAGGGUCUGUGCUGACAGCGCGGAGCCUGCUUGGGAUUCUCUGUCUCCUCCUUCUCUGCCUCCUUCCCCUCUCUCUCUCUCUCUCUCAAAAAAUAAACAUUAAAAAAAAAAGAAGGAAAAAGAAUCUGAGCUCUUUGGGAACAGACUCUGUAAUACAUGUUUUUGUGAUCUCAGAAGCUCACAUGGUUAUUUAUUGAACAACUUAAAAUAUUUUGUCAUGGGGCGCCUGGGUGGCUCAGUAGGUUAAGCAUCAGACUUCAGCUUUGGUCAUGAUCUCGCAGUUCGUGGGUUCAUGUCCCUUGUCGGNNNNNNNNNNNNNNNNNNNNNNNNNNNNNNNNNNNNNNNNNNNNNNNNNNNNNNNNNNNNNNNNNNNNNNNNNNNNNNNNNNNNNNNNNNNNNNNNNNNNNNNNNNNNNNNNNNNNNNNNNNNNNNNNNNNNNNNNNNNNNNNNNNNNNNNNNNNNNNNNNNNNNNNNNNNNNNNNNNNNNNNNNNNNNNNNNNNNNNNNNNNNNNNNNNNNNNNNNNNNNNNNNNNNNNNNNNNNNNNNNNNNNNNNNNNNNNNNNNNNNNNNNNNNNNNNNNNNNNNNNNNNNNNNNNNNNNNNNNNNNNNNNNNNNNNNNNNNNNNNNNNNNNNNNNNNNNNNNNNNNNNNNNNNNNNNNNNNNNNNNNNNNNNNNNNNNNNNNNNNNNNNNNNNNNNNNNNNNNNNNNNNNNNNNNNNNNNNNNNNNNNNNNNNNNNNNNNNNNNNNNNNNNNNNNNNNNNNNNNNNNNNNNNNNNNNNNNNNNNNNNNNNNNNNNNNNNNNNNNNNNNNNNNNNNNNNAAACUACCGGGAAAGAACAGCCAGGUAGAGGAAGCAAAAUGCUGUAAGCAAGGAUUUACUUGGGAACCCCCACUGUGUCUAUAACAAAAACCCUCAGCUUAUCAUGGCACAGGUUUUCAAGCUUCUUCAACUGUAAAGAAUACAAAGACCUCCCAACUUUUAAUGUUUUCUUUCCAGAGUUUAUCUUCUAAAAACCUUACACCUGACUUGUAAGGAUUCUACAAAGAUUAACUAUAUAUAUAUAUAUAUAUAUAUAUAUAUAUAUAUAUUGCUGUGUAGGAUCCCAUGUCUCUCAGAGGAGAUGUGCUUUUUCAUCACAGAUUAUAUAUUUAUUACAGUUAUUAUCUAUUUAUUCUGCUACAAAAAGUGCUGAUUCUACAGAGCCUAGGGAUUCCAGGGAGAAAACAUGUAUGGAAUGUGCUCAGGUUGUGGGACUUCCCGUAAUUGUUGGAAUAGAAGAAAAAUAUCUUCUGGACACUGGGGAGAAAACUUCUGUUGAAGAACACUUGGGGGAGGAGGAUGCUGGAGCCCUAGGGAGCAAGUCAGAGAACUCUGACUUCUGCUCUAGAAGCCUGGCUGGGACAGGGACACAACUGUCCCUAUUUUGGAGAAGUUGCCACCUAUUCCCAGCACCACUUUUUCCCCCCAGAGAGUGUCACCAAAGCUAGCUGGUGUUUCAGGAAUGUUACCUAGAAUUGAUCCUUUUUACUCUUGCUGGUGUGGGGCACCAAGGUCACAGCUAUGCAUCUCCGGUGUCCCCUUCCCACUAUUAAGUUCAGCGCACCUCUCGCCUUUUCCCUAAACCCCACCAGGAAGGAGCCGCUCAGGGGCAUCUGGGUGGCUCAGUCGGUUAAGCAUCCAACUUUGGCUCAGGUCAUGAUCACGUGGGUUUGUGAGUUCAAGCCUCUCAUCCAGCUCUGUGCUGACAGCUCAGAGCCUGGAGCCUGUGUCAGAUUCUGUGUCUCCCUCUCUCUCUGCCCCUCUUCCACUCUCUCCCUGUCCCUCCCUCUCUCUCUCUCUCAAAAAUAAAUAAACAUUAAAACAAUUUACAUAAAAAAGGAAAGAAGAAAGAAAGAAAGAAAGAAAGAAAGAAAGAAAGAAAGAAAGAAAGAAAGAAGCAGCUCAGAGAUGAGCUGGCCAUAUUAGCCAGCACACUGGUCACCAGGGAAGAUUUACUGGUCUGGCUGGAGAAAUUUUUGCUUUCAUUAACAAAUGCUUAAUGAAUGCCUACUACAUGCUUGGCACUGUACUGGCUGGAAGGUUGCCCUCUUCUCCUUCACAGCCUCUUGCUCCACACCCCUCCUCAAGCUGUGCACUAGCUGAGUAGGUUGGCCUUCCCACGUGGACAAUGGUCACUCUUGGGCCAAGGUCUUUAAGUAGCUGCCUUCCUCGCUGGACCCCAUAAGCAAGCUCCACAGGGCAUACUUCCUUCUCUGCUGCCUUUCAAGCUGCAGUCAGGUGAGGCCCACCCACCACAUGACUAUCGUUCUCAAAGCCCUGCUGAUUUGUUGACCUAUCGAGAGAGAAGAACAUGGCACUUACUCAUUAAGAAAAGUUUCGCUUUGGUUUGGAGGUGGGGAGCAUGUAGAGGCAGUUGACUGCAGUGAGACCAAAUGAAACAUCCCGUCACCAGGCCCCUAUCCCUCAUUCCAACUCCCUCUGCAGAUCCGAGCAUUCUGAGACUGGAGAACCAGCCAAGGGGUAAAGAUGUCUGCUUCGAACGUAAUUUUGUUAUUGAAAGGGAUACGAUGUGGAUGGCUUUUUUGGUUCGGGAGGAGAAGGGGCGGGGGAAGCAGGUCAGACGCCCCUGACAUUUCCGUGUCUGUGCCCAAAACCUUGCGUAGACCUCAUCUGUCCAAAUGAGAACUAGCAAUCACUAUUGACAGAAACUGCAAAGUCACUUUCUUUAGGGAAUCUGUAAACUGCUUUCAGCAAAACGUAACUGGGAGGGAAACACAAGACAGGGCGGGGGACAAAGAUUCUCCUGACCAGGGGCCGGGGCAGAUUAACCCCUAGUUACCUGAAGGCAGCACCGUGAGCACCACAUGCUGGGACUCAUCUGAUGCUCGGUUGACCCACGUGCCAGGGUUACCAUGCGGCUCCCACUCUGUCACCUUGCACCAGUACAAACCAGCAUCCUCCAUUCUGACCCGAUGAAGCUUCAGGACAAAGUCUGUAGGGGAUGAGCGGUAACAGUACAGAUGCCCCCCGAGCCCCUCGUCACCAUACUCCAGCAAGCCAUCAUGCCGAAGGUGUACCAGCAUUUUCCUUCCUGAAUGCUCCCCGUUGCGCAACCACAUCACAGAGUACAGAGAAGCCGAGCUGCCAGAACUCUCCAGGCUGCAGCGGAUGGCCACCUCCGUGUGCUCGGUAGCAUUUUCUGUCCAGUACACUUUGGACACACGUACCUUGCUUCCUAGGAAAUAAAAUGGCAAUAAGUUAG